CCUACGGGUGGCAGCAGUGGGGAAUAUUGCACAAUGGGGGAAACCCUGAUGCAGCGACGCCGCGUGAGUGAAGAAGUAUUUCGGUAUGUAAAGCUCUAUCAGCAGGGAAGAAAAUGACGGUACCUGAUUAAGAAGCCCCGGCUAACUACGUGCCAGCAGCCGCGGUAAUACGUAGGGGGCAAGCGUUAUCCGGAUUUACUGGGUGUAAAGGGAGCGUAGACGGCAGCGCAAGUCUGAAGUGUAAUUCCGGGGCUCAACCUCGGCGCUACCGCCAAAACUAUUAGACUAGAGUGCAGGAGGGGUAAGUGGAAUGCCUAGUGUAGCGGUGGAAUGCGUAGAUAUUAGGAGGAACAUCAGGGGCGAAGGCGACUUACUGGACUGUAACUGACACUGAGGCACGAAAGCGUGGGGAGCAAACAGGAUUAGAUACCCUAGUAGUC
RNAcentral lists this ribosomal RNA (440 nucleotides) under uncultured bacterium. RNAcentral's name for it is "partial 16S ribosomal RNA". It matches the Rfam family "Bacterial small subunit ribosomal RNA", at positions 338 to 795 of the family's 1533-position model. The record is from RNAcentral.